GGAAUGCCGUUGAAGCUGUCAAGAAACUAAGAGAAGAUCCCAAAGCCAAUGACCAGUACUUAACUUCCUUUGUAAUUGUCGAUGAAAAUGGGAAGCCUGUAGGCCCAAUUGUGGAUGGUGAUGCUGUUGUAACAUUCAACUUCCGUGCAGAUCGUAUGGUUAUGCUUGCCAAGGCGCUUGAAUAUGAGAAUUUUGACAAAUUUGAUAGAGUCCGAUUCCCUAAAAUCCAUUAUGCUGGAAUGCUCCAGUAUGAUGGUGAGUUGAAGCUUCCAAGCCAUUACCUUGUAUCUCCUCCUGAGAUAGAAAGGACAUCUGGUGAAUAUUUAGUCCAUAAUGGUGUU
Molecule: unclassified non-coding RNA, 341 nt
Filed under: Hevea brasiliensis (rubber tree)
Lineage: Eukaryota; Viridiplantae; Streptophyta; Magnoliopsida; Malpighiales; Euphorbiaceae
Source: RNAcentral